Molecule: unclassified non-coding RNA, 1148 nt
Filed under: Hevea brasiliensis (rubber tree)
Lineage: Eukaryota; Viridiplantae; Streptophyta; Magnoliopsida; Malpighiales; Euphorbiaceae
Source: RNAcentral
AUCCUAGUAUUUUAUUUGCUUGGCUUGAUUCUCAUCCGUGAUGGUGGAAAUUAUGGGAUAAUCAAAUCAAAUGUCUUGAGCAUUUCAACAUACUAAAUGUAAUUGUACCUCCCUUGUAUCAAAAAGGAGGGUCUGUUGAUAUUGUAAGACUAGGAUCUGGUAAGCUUGCCGGAAUAUCAAAUCCUGACAUGAAGUCAUCGCCAAAAAUCACAGCACCUGCAGCCAGAGCCCCAGCACCAACUCCCAUUGCUAAACCAGGUCUGGCACCCAGUCCAGGUGCUGCUGCAGAUGAUGGCAUAUUAAUGUAGUCUGAAUUUGGAAGAAAAGUGGGUACAUAGCCAACGUUAGAAGGCGGUGGUGGUGGUGGAGGAGGCGUGCGUGGUGGAUGAUAGCUGGGUCCAGCUGCUGGGGGGUAACUUGGUCCACCCAUGGAUGGAUUGGAAUAAUUUGCACGAUAAGGCGAUGGAUGAGCAUAUGAAAAAUUUGAUGAUUGAUUUUCUUCAGAAGACAAUGCAAUGUUGCCACCAUUAUCCAUCAGCACAAUCCCUCCUUCAUUGGCUGCGUAUGAACUUGGCUCUCCCCUGUCCUCUGAGACACGAAUAGAAAUAUCUAUAAACCCUUGUGGUUUGCCGGAAUUUCUUUUGCGCAGUUGGUAGCUCCCCACUUCUUCUUUUCCUGGCCUUGAGGCCUCUGAGCUUUUGCUAUACUUGGCCAAGAAUUCUUUCAGGAGGACAGUUGCAGUGCCUUGAAGUCUUUCUCUGAGGAAAAUGGGCUCUCUGCUGUAUACCUCAACAUGUAGUGCUAUAUCUUGAAAGUUUGCAUCAUCAACCAAGGUAGCAAACUUGGUUUUCCAUAUGGGAUUUGCGUUCCCAGAGGCAUCGAUCUUGGUGCAAUAUUUGUUGUUAGGAUCAAUCCAACCAACGGCAAACCACUGAAGUUUCCAGAGGGAGGAAUUAUGUCGGAGCCCACGAGCAGAUAUGAAGCAAACUUCAACCCAAAUUUUGCCCAUACUAAACAGCUGAAAAUUAGGAGAUGGUUAGGGAACCUGUCCUGUGUAAGGAUUUUCUUGACAAAGUUGGAAUGGAAAGUUAAAACUAUUUGGCGUUAUCCAUAAGGCUACUUUACUUUUAUGGAGAGCAAAUUCUUGC